CCGCAAUGGGCGAAAGCCUGACGGAGCGACACCGCGUGGAGGAUGACGGCCUUUUGGUUGUAAACUCCGUUUUCUGGGGGAAUAAAUGAUGAAGGUACCCCAGGAAUAAGCACCGGCUAACUACGUGCCAGCAGCCGCGGUAAUACGUAGGGUGCAAGCGUUAUCCGGAAUCAUUGGGCGUAAAGAGUUCGUAGGUGGCUUUGAAAGUUCGUGGUUAAAUCCGGUCGCUCAACGAUCGAAUCGCUGCGAAAACUCCAAAGCUAGAGAAUGGCAGGGGCAACUGGAAUGUCGCAUGUAGGGGUAAAAUCCGUUGAUAUGCGAUGGAACACCAAAAGCGAAGGCAGGUUGCUGGGCCAUUUCUGACACUGAGGAACGAAAGCGUGGGGAGCAAACAGGAUUAGAUACCCUGGUAGUCCACGCCCUAAACGAUGGAUACUCGAUGUGGGAGGGAUUCGACCCCCUUCUGUGUCUAAGCUAACGCGUUAAGUAUCCCGCCUGGGGAGUACGGUCGCAAGAUUA
RNAcentral lists this ribosomal RNA (519 nucleotides) under uncultured bacterium. RNAcentral's name for it is "bacterial SSU rRNA". It matches the Rfam family "Bacterial small subunit ribosomal RNA", at positions 366 to 896 of the family's 1533-position model. The record is from RNAcentral.